This 468-nucleotide ribosomal RNA is filed under the name uncultured bacterium. RNAcentral's name for it is "partial 16S ribosomal RNA". It matches the Rfam family "Bacterial small subunit ribosomal RNA", at positions 28 to 507 of the family's 1533-position model. The record is from RNAcentral.
GACGAACGCUGGCGGCGUGCUUAACACAUGCAAGUCGAACGGAAAGGCCCUGCUUUUGUGGGGUGCUCGAGUGGCGAACGGGUGAGUAACACGUGAGUAACCUGCCCUUGACUUUGGGAUAACUUCAGGAAACUGGGGCUAAUACCGGAUAGGAGCUCCUGCUGCAUGGUGGGGGUUGGAAAGUUUCGGCGGUUGGGGAUGGACUCGCGGCUUAUCAGCUUGUUGGUGGGGUAGUGGCUUACCAAGGCUUUGACGGGUAGCCGGCCCGAGAGGGUGACCGGCCAUAUUGGGACUGAGAUACGGCCCAGACUCCUACGGGAGGCAGCAGUGGGGAAUAUUGCACAAUGGGCGGAAGCCUGAUGCAGCAACGCCGCGUGCGGGAUGACGGCCUUCGGGUUGUAAACCGCUUUCGCCUGUGACGAAGCGUGAGUGACGGUAAUGGGUAAAGAAGCACCGGCUAACUACGUG